Long non-coding RNA from Hyaena hyaena (striped hyena), 618 nucleotides. RefSeq lists it as uncharacterized. Lineage: Eukaryota; Metazoa; Chordata; Mammalia; Carnivora; Hyaenidae. The record is from RefSeq and is a predicted model, not a curated record. The transcript has 3 exons.
CAGGAGCCAGGCGGCUGCAUCCAGCUGGCCUGCCAUCCCACCCGGCUCCUAGAGGAUAGCCAGACCUUCCAGAGUCCUGAGUGACACAGCAGUGGGUGAGUUUUGGACAGAGCCACCCUCUCCAAUGGCCCCAUCCUUAUUGCUGCAACGGACAGGAAGGUUGCAGGUGAUGCUGAUGCUGCUGGCCUGGGGACCCACCGGCCUAUUAGCUGUUCCUCCCAUAUUCCGCUAGAAGCCGUCUUGGACCCGGGGUAAGAGAAGACUGCCGACUGAACCUACAGAGGUUUAAAAGGAAAUCUCAAGCCAAAGGUCUGCAUCACUUACCCAAGGCAGGAGGACCUCCUGACCACCUUGGAAGUCUCUCUACCAGCAAACUUGGGGGUCUCAGGCCCAGCAAUCUUACUUACUGGAUCCUGUGAUCUUUCCGUAAACCACACUUUUUGACUCCCCUCUUGCAUGCCAGGAGCUUUAUAUACCCUAUUCUAUUCUUCACAACCAUGCAAGGAGCUCUCCCUGAAGCUUGCAGAAGUCGGAUCUGAACCAGACCUAUUUCUAAAGCCCACGAUCUUAACCUAGGUGAUUUUGCCUUAAGAAAUUAAAACAGAACAGGUAAUUUUA